CUGCUGUUGUGUCUGUGAGAACCUAUGAAUGUCAGCAGCUGUGCACUUGCAGAUCCUGAGGAGCAGGAUCUCCCCAAAAUCACUGGUUAGAUGACAAACACUUCCUUCAGUAUCUCCUGCAUGAAUCCAAGUAUCACCUGGGCAAGUCUGAUCAGCAGGACCUAAGUACUGUGCUGCCAGGGAACCCAAAGAUAUGUUGAGCAGCUUCAAGUGAUGGGUGUAAAGCUUGCCACAUGAAGUGGAAAGGGCGGAGAUUGCUUCAUGGCUGCCUAUAACUGUGGUAACCCCUGUCCAUGCAUAAUGUGAUCGUCUUGAUUUCCACAAUCUCAAGGACCUGAUCACCAGGUCCUUCCCUGAUGCCAAAUCCAAGCCCUCUUGGUCUGGUAUAUUUUGACUUGAAAUCUGAUGAGUUUUUGAUUGGAAAGCACUUCUGUUAAAACCAGAUUAAAGAAGAAUGCAACAUGC
Bubalus bubalis (water buffalo) is the source of this 465-nucleotide long non-coding RNA. RefSeq lists it as uncharacterized. The record is from RefSeq and is a predicted model, not a curated record. Lineage: Eukaryota; Metazoa; Chordata; Mammalia; Artiodactyla; Bovidae. The transcript has 2 exons.